GACGUAGGGCGCAAGCGUUGUCCGGAUUUAUUGGGCGUAAAGAGCUCGUAGGCGGCUUGUUGCGUCGUCCGUGAAAUCCCAUGGCUCAACUGUGGGCUUGCGGUCGAUACGGGCAGGCUGGAGUUCGGUAGGGGAGACUGGAAUUCCUGGUGUAGCGGUGAAAUGCGCAGAUAUCAGGAGGAACACCGGUGGCGAAGGCGGGUCUCUGGGCCGAUACUGACGCUGAGGAGCGAAAGCCAGGGGAGCAAACGGG
This 253-nucleotide ribosomal RNA is filed under the name uncultured bacterium. RNAcentral's name for it is "partial 16S ribosomal RNA". It matches the Rfam family "Bacterial small subunit ribosomal RNA", at positions 524 to 776 of the family's 1533-position model. The record is from RNAcentral.